Molecule: long non-coding RNA, 834 nt
Organism: Brassica napus (rape)
Lineage: Eukaryota; Viridiplantae; Streptophyta; Magnoliopsida; Brassicales; Brassicaceae
Exons: 5
Source: RefSeq, a predicted model, not a curated record
UUUGUUAGAAACAAUUGUAAAUCUCUAAAGCCCCAAUUUUUGUCGCGAUUCCUGCGUUCAUCUCUCUCUCAUCCCUUGUUUGGCUUCGAAUUCAAUCUUUUGCUUUCCGUUGGUGACGUUAUCGGAUCUCAAAGCUUCUUUAGACAAUUUCCCACAGGCCACAGAUCUUAUUAUCAGUUUUCACUCUUCAGAUGGGUUAGGAGAUGAGUUUGUCUCAGUCUUGUGUUCUGUAACCGACUCACCAUCAACAAGUCUUGUGUUUUGUCACCGAGGGAAUAUCUGCUUGUGUUCUUGUGUUCAUAUCGGCAAGGUCCUGUUUUAUAAGCAGACGUAUUUGACCAAAGAAAACGCAGAACAAGUCUUGUGUUCAUAUCGGCAAGAUAUACAAGAGGGCAAGUGAGGCGUAUGAAGCUUUGUCGACUAGGUUAGGCGAGCAGAAGUUUCUCUUUGAAGACAGGUCUUGUACUCUUGUGUUCUGUCACUGACUCACCAUCAACAAGUCUCAGGUUGCUUUGUUUUGUAGGAACAAUUGAAGACCUCUUUGAUGAAAAUGAAGAUGUCCAAAAAAAAAACAAGUAUUUCAGAAGUGAUAAGAUUAAGUUGUGAUUGAAGAUCAAGACAAGGUCUACCAAGAAGUCAUUGAGUCGUCAGAAACUCAUGAGAAUGUCUUGUGAAAGAUAAGGCUUUGUGCAAGAUUGAUGAGAAUGUUUAUGUUCAUGGAUUUUAAUACUUUAUAUUCAAGUUAUGUUUUGGCUCUCUUUCUAAAAUUGUUAUGUUUUUUGUAAUGUAAACUCUGAACAUCUUGUAAACUCAUGAGAAUGUCUUGUAAACUUA